UGUACUGAUGAUGAUGACUGGUGGCAUAGGAGUUAUGGACAAUGAAAAUAUGUGUCUGAAAUGCUGAGGUCAAA
This is a small nucleolar RNA of Rhinolophus ferrumequinum (greater horseshoe bat), 74 nucleotides long. Lineage: Eukaryota; Metazoa; Chordata; Mammalia; Chiroptera; Rhinolophidae. The record is from Ensembl.